AGAAGAAAGCCCCCCGGGGGGGGGGCGGGGAAGGAGGGGAGAUAAAUACUGGAACUUAAAUGGCUGAAAUGCUUCGGACAACACAAAGAGGAGCAGAAGAAGUAGUCAGAGUGAAACUAAAAACCAAGGAGUAGCUGAAGCCCUGAGAGCAGCACUCUGCUGUGAAUGAUCAGAAUUCAUCGUUUUGACAACAACGCCCCUUCUUCUCUCCUCAAUCAUUCCCACUCCGGCUUCCUAUCUCCUGCCCAUCAUAUUUCAGAUCUUUGAGUGUUUGGAUGCGAAUAUGUCAGCUAAAGGGAUGAGAAUAUCAGUAAGUACAGAGGAGGAACUUGGCAGCAGUAUGGAGAGGAAAGAUGCCGCCGAUGACUUUGGAGAACCUGUAUACCAGAGGAGCAUGGUUUUUUGCUGUAGUAUUUACUCCAACAGAGGUAGAUGAGAAGAAUAAGCGUGAGGAUGUGUAUCUACAAACAGUGUAUCUUAAAAAGUGCUUAACCACAGGGAAUGUAUGAGGAUCACCUUUUGCAAUUUUUUUUUGAUCGGGGUUCAAAACUCAUUUUUAGUUGUUUUAAUCAGCACAAAACGAAUACACAUGCUCUCAAAUUAUUUUUUAUAUAUCAUUUUCUAGGUGAU
Molecule: long non-coding RNA, 630 nt
Organism: Coffea arabica (coffee)
Lineage: Eukaryota; Viridiplantae; Streptophyta; Magnoliopsida; Gentianales; Rubiaceae
Source: RefSeq, a predicted model, not a curated record